Molecule: transfer RNA, 74 nt
Filed under: Tannerella sp.
Lineage: Bacteria; Pseudomonadati; Bacteroidota; Bacteroidia; Bacteroidales; Tannerellaceae
Description: tRNA-Cys
Rfam family: tRNA
About the family: Transfer RNA (tRNA) molecules are approximately 80 nucleotides in length. Their secondary structure includes four short double-helical elements and three loops (D, anti-codon, and T loops). Further hydrogen bonds mediate the characteristic L-shaped molecular structure. tRNAs have two regions of fundamental functional importance: the anti-codon, which is responsible for specific mRNA codon recognition, and the 3' end, to which the tRNAs corresponding amino acid is attached (by aminoacyl-tRNA synthetases). tRNAs cope with the degeneracy of the genetic code in two manners: having more than one tRNA (with a specific anti-codon) for a particular amino acid; and 'wobble' base-pairing, i.e. permitting non-standard base-pairing at the 3rd anti-codon position.
Source: RNAcentral
GGUUCCUUAGCCGAGUGGUUAGGCGCCGGUCUGCAAAACCGUUUACAGCGGUUCGAAUACGCUAGGAACCUCCA